CAGUCGAACGAUGAAGCCCUUCGGGGUGGAUUAGUGGCGAACGGGUGAGGAACACGUGAAGAAUCUGCCCUCCACUUUGGGAUAACUCCGGGAAACCGGGGCUAAUACCGAAUAUUGAAACAUAAGUGGCAUCACUGAGUUUUGAAAGAAUUUCGGUGGAGGAUGACUUCGCGGCCUAUCAGCUUGUUGGUGAGGUAAUGGCUCACCAAGGCGACGACGGGUAGCCGGCCUGAGAGGGCGACCGGCCACACUGGGACUGAGACACGGCCCAGACUCCUACGGGAGGCAGCAGUGGGGAAUAUUGGGCAAUGGACGAAAGUCUGACCCAGCGACGCCGCGUGCGGGAUGAAGGCCUUCGGGUUGUAAACCGCUUUCAGCAGGGAAGAAGCGAAAGUGACGGUACCUGCAAAAGAAGCACCGGCUAACUAUGUGCCAGCAGCCGCGGUAAUACAUAGGGUGCAAGCGUUGUCCGGAAUUAUUGGGCGUAAAGAGCUCGUAGGUCGUUAGUUACGUCGGGUGUGAAAAUCUGGGGCUCAACCCCAGACCUGCACUCGAUACGGGCUAGCUAGAGUUUGGUAGGGGAGACUGGAAUUCCUGGUGUAGCGGUGGAAUGCGCAGAUAUCAGGAGGAACACCAAUGGCGAAGGCAGGUCUCUGGGCCAAUACUGACACUGAGGAGCGAAAGCGCGGGGAGCGAACAGGAUUAGAUACCCUGGUAGUCCGCGCCGUA
Molecule: ribosomal RNA, 729 nt
Filed under: uncultured bacterium
Lineage: Bacteria
Description: bacterial SSU rRNA
Rfam family: Bacterial small subunit ribosomal RNA
Source: RNAcentral